This 497-nucleotide ribosomal RNA is filed under the name uncultured bacterium. RNAcentral's name for it is "partial 16S ribosomal RNA". It matches the Rfam family "Bacterial small subunit ribosomal RNA", at positions 28 to 507 of the family's 1533-position model. The record is from RNAcentral.
GACGAACGCUGGCGGCGUGCCUAAUACAUGCCAGUAGAACGCUGAAGAGAGGAGCUUGCUCUUCUUGGAUGAGUUGCGAACGGGUGAGUAACGCGUAGGUAACCUGCCUUGUAGCGGGGGAUAACUAUUGGAAACGAUAGCUAAUACCGCAUAACAAUGGAUGACACAUGUCAUUUAUUUGAAAGGGGCAAUUGCUCCACUACAAGAUGGACCUGCGUUGUAUUAGCUAGUAGGUGAGGUAACGGCUCACCUAGGCGACGAUACAUAGCCGACCUGAGAGGGUGAUCGGCCACACUGGGACUGAGACACGGCCCAGACUCCUACGGGAGGCAGCAGUAGGGAAUCUUCGGCAAUGGGGGCAACCCUGACCGAGCAACGCCGCGUGAGUGAAGAAGGGUUUCGGAUCGUAAAGCUCGGUUGUAAGUCAAGAACGAGUGUGAGAGUGGAAAGUUCACACUGUGACGGUAGCUUACCAGAAAGGGACGGCUAACUACGUG